UACGUAGGGACCGAGCGUUGUCCGGAAUCAUUGGGCGUAAAGAGCGUGUAGGCGGCCACUUAAGUCCUGCGUGAAAUCUUGCGGCUCAACCGCAAGCGGUCGUGGGAAACUGGGUGGCUAGAGUGCGGAAGAGGAGAGUGGAAUUCCUGGUGUAGCGGUGGAAUGCGCAGAUAUCAGGAAGAACACCCGUGGCGAAGGCGGCUCUCUGGAACGGAACUGACGCUGAGACGCGAAAGCGUGGGGAGCAAACAGG
This 253-nucleotide ribosomal RNA is filed under the name uncultured bacterium. RNAcentral describes it as "partial 16S ribosomal RNA". It matches the Rfam family "Bacterial small subunit ribosomal RNA", at positions 524 to 776 of the family's 1533-position model. The record is from RNAcentral.